AGCGGCGGACGGGUGAGUAACGCGUGGGUAACCUGCCUCAUACAGGGGGAUAACAGUUAGAAAUGACUGCUAAUACCGCAUAAGACCACAGGAUCGCAUGAUCCGGUGGUAAAAACUCCGGUGGUAUGAGAUGGACCCGCGUCUGAUUAGGUAGUUGGUGGGGUAACGGCCUACCAAGCCGACGAUCAGUAGCCGACCUGAGAGGGUGACCGGCCACAUUGGGACUGAGACACGGCCCAA
This 240-nucleotide ribosomal RNA is filed under the name uncultured bacterium. RNAcentral's name for it is "partial 16S ribosomal RNA". It matches the Rfam family "Bacterial small subunit ribosomal RNA", at positions 94 to 334 of the family's 1533-position model. The record is from RNAcentral.